This 74-nucleotide transfer RNA is filed under the name Capsicum annuum. It matches the Rfam family "tRNA". Rfam says of the family: Transfer RNA (tRNA) molecules are approximately 80 nucleotides in length. Their secondary structure includes four short double-helical elements and three loops (D, anti-codon, and T loops). The record is from Rfam by way of RNAcentral. Lineage: Eukaryota; Viridiplantae; Streptophyta; Magnoliopsida; Solanales; Solanaceae.
GGGCCUGUAGCUCAGAGAAUUAGAGCACAUGGAUAUGAACCACAGUGUUGAGGGUUCGAAUCCAUCCUCUCCCA